Molecule: ribosomal RNA, 460 nt
Filed under: uncultured bacterium
Lineage: Bacteria
Description: partial 16S ribosomal RNA
Rfam family: Bacterial small subunit ribosomal RNA
Source: RNAcentral
CCUACGGGAGGCAGCAGUGAGGAAUAUUGGUCAAUGGACGAGAGUCUGAACCAGCCAAGUAGCGUGAAGGAUGACUGCCCUAUGGGUUGUAAACUUCUUUUAUAUGGGAAUAAAACGUUCCACGUGUGGGAUUUUGUAUGUACCAUAUGAAUAAGUAUCGGCUAACUCCGUGCCAGCAGCCGCGGUAAUACGGAGGAUCCGAGCGUUAUCCGGAUUUAUUGGGUUUAAAGGGAGCGUAGGUGGAUUGUUAAGUCCGUUGUGAAAGUUUGCGGCUCAACCGUAAAAUUGCAGUUGAAACUGGCAGUCUUGAGUACAGUAGAGGUGGGCGGAAUUCGUGGUGUAGCGGUGAAAUGCUUAGAUAUCACGAAGAACUCCGAUUGCGAAGGCAGUUCACUGGACUGCAACUGACACUGAGGCUCGAAAGUGUGGGUAUCAAACAGGAUUAGAUACCCGAGUAGUC